UUUCAGAGCAGAAGGCUAACCACAGGACAUUCCAGCUGUGACUCAUUGCCACUACUGGCGAGCAUUCUGGCUUGGUCCCGCGAAGGAAACCACUCUAGAAAUAGUUUUGAGAGACAAAAUAUGACGGGUGUAGAGAACUUGAGCUGACUCAUGUAAAACACUUCACAGAAAUCAUCCCCGGCAGACCAGAUGGGAAAGCAGUGAAUCAAUGAAUCACUUGUGAAGAGAUGGACGGCCAACAUGAAUCGCUUGCAGUGUGUUGCUAUGACAACCUGCUUCUGUGUGGACCCUGAGGCCAUUCCCAAGUGUGGGGUGCGUGGCCCAGAGCAAACCAUACCGUGGGGGACAGCGUAAGCCUGAGCUUCGAGUGAAGUAAGUGGACUAAAAUGUUGGCUUCAUCAUUUAUCCUUUGUGAGAAGUGCCAAAUGCAUCAGUGACGCCAGCUGCAGACAGAAAGCAAGAGGAAACUCAAGUGUCUUAAGAGAUGAACCAUUAAUUAUAUCUCAGGCUUGUCUUCGCCUGGACCAGCCCCACUCCCAUCCAAUCAUUGGUCCACUUCUGCUGAUUUUACCUCCUCGGUGCUCUCAAGUCCUUCCAUUACAUUCUCCCUCCUCAGCUCGCAAGGAACUGGUGCUCUCUCUC
Molecule: long non-coding RNA, 642 nt
Organism: Prionailurus viverrinus (fishing cat)
Lineage: Eukaryota; Metazoa; Chordata; Mammalia; Carnivora; Felidae
Exons: 3
Source: RefSeq, a predicted model, not a curated record